RNAcentral lists this ribosomal RNA (439 nucleotides) under Clostridiales bacterium oral taxon C16. Its description in RNAcentral is "bacterial SSU rRNA". It matches the Rfam family "Bacterial small subunit ribosomal RNA", at positions 28 to 444 of the family's 1533-position model. Lineage: Bacteria; Bacillati; Bacillota; Clostridia; Eubacteriales. The record is from RNAcentral.
GAUGAACGCUGGCGGCGUGCUUAACACAUGCAAGUCGAACGGAGUUGAUUUAAGGAAGCAAGCUUGCUUGAAGAAUUGAAUUAACUUAGUGGCGGACGGGCGAGUAACACGUGAGCAACCUGCCUCUUACAGGGGAAUAACAACGGGAAACCGUUGCUAAUACCGCAUAAUAUGUUGAAAGGGCAUCCUUUUAACAUCAAAGGAGCAAUCCGGUAAGAGAUGGGCUCGCGUCCGAUUAGCUAGUUGGUAGGGUAACGGCCUACCAAGGCGACGAUCGGUAGCCGGACUGAGAGGUCGAACGGCCGCAUUGGGACUGAGACACGGCCCAGACUCCUACGGGAGGCAGCAGUGGGGAAUAUUGGGCAAUGGGCGAAAGCCUGACCCAGCAACGCCGCGUGAGUGAUGAAGGCCUUCGGGUUGUAAAACUCUUUGGACAGGG